CUCCAAUAGCGUAUAUUAAAGUUGUUGCGGUAAAAAAGCUCGUAGUUGGAUUUCUGUUGAGAGCGACCGGUCCAUACCACGUAUGCGUAUCUGGCUUGCUCUCGGCAUCCUCUCGAUAGACGUUGCUGCGCUUGAUUGCGUGGCGCGGAUCUCGGGACUUACUUUGAGGAAAUUAGAGUGUUCACGCAGCUUUCGCCAGA
RNAcentral lists this ribosomal RNA (200 nucleotides) under uncultured eukaryote. RNAcentral's name for it is "partial 18S ribosomal RNA". It matches the Rfam family "Eukaryotic small subunit ribosomal RNA", at positions 589 to 798 of the family's 1831-position model. The record is from RNAcentral.